This 2296-nucleotide long non-coding RNA is filed under the name Zea mays. RNAcentral's name for it is "long non-coding RNA (ZMAY_LNC004329)". The record is from RNAcentral. Lineage: Eukaryota; Viridiplantae; Streptophyta; Magnoliopsida; Poales; Poaceae.
ACAAAUUGUCACACCCAGUUUUAGAAGGCAAACCGAAUGCGAAUCAUGUACAUGCCAGGACCAGCAAUUCACGUACACAACAAUUACAUAGUUGGACAUCAUCACACAGUGCUCAAAUAAUAACAUAAAAGCGUAUUAAUUUGAUUACAUCAUGAUGCCCAAGACAUCCACAUAGUAUUAAACAUAAAUAAAAGUGCAAAAACAAAACGUAGCAACACAUGACCUUCAUAGGUAGCCGAUUGGGGGUUUGCCGCUAACCCAUUCCUAGAACUCAUCAUAGUCUUGGAACUCCUAGAAAUCCUCCACCACGACUUCAUCUUCUUCUGAGCAGUGGUUGGAAUGUGGACAACCUGGUGGUUUUGGUGUUGUAAAGCAAGGGUGAGUACACAUCAAUGUACUCAACAAUUGUCCCGUUUGGGUGAGGUGGACUAGCUGUAUGUGGGGUGAAGCUCAGAGCGAUUGCUUUUAGUUGGUCAGGUAAUUAUUACUAGUAGAGAGCUAGGUUUUAGCAUUAAACCCAAGUUAUUAACCCAAAAGUACUCCUUCCAAACAAAAAGAAUACCAGAAACCAUAAUCAUAAUCAUCACCAUCAAAACCAUAAUUAUCCAUAUCAUCAUCUGUAAUCAUAGUAUCUCUAAUCAAAGGAGCUCCUAAGGCUGCUCAUAACUGUGAGCACGGCUGAUAUAUCGGUUUCAUAACACUCUACAGAGGUUGCACACUUUACCCAUGAGUCGUGAUUGCCUCUCUAGCCUGGGCUUACAAGACCCUUGUUCACUCCCGAGGUGAAUGGCCAGGGAUUCACUACGAAGCCUUUACAAAGAUUCCCUGAGAUGUAGCCACUCGUUAGGUUUCUUAAAUGUACCGCACUCCUCCCCAAGGGGCAAACCACCCUUGGCAGAGCGAGCCGCAUACACCAAGCCACAUUGGCGGCACGACGGCGAAGCAAACUACACCUUAGUUCCUUUAAUUAAUUAGCUAAGGGCGUCCAUACCACCCUCAUGGCUGUACUAUUUUCCCGGUGGCAAUCCAACGAACCAGUCCUUACGAAGAGGCACUCGAGAAACUGCUCGAGUCCCCUUAAAUGUCACAAUGCCAUCAUCAUAAUCAAAAGUAAACCUCGUGUCAUAAAUAAUCUCAUCAUAUUCAUUGAUUAAAGUAAAGCGCUAGCAUAGAGCUAAUCAAAAAAUGAUCCAACCCAAAUAGGUGAACAAGGACAAGAUAAACAAAGACUAGUCAAUCCUUAGGUAUAAAUUAUGUAAAUGCGGGGAGGUGAAUUCUGAAAUGUAUAGGACAUAAAUAGGUCAGAGGACACUUGCCUUCACCAACCAGCUGCUGCCCAAGGUCUUCGCCUGCAACUCCUUCAGACUCCGCCAACGAACCGUUACCUAUACGAGUUCAAACAUACAUUCCACAAUCUUAACAUAGAAAGAAAGAAUACACCACACAAUAAAAUAUUACAACUAAACAGAUGCGUGGCGCAGGGAUCGUAUCUACGACUAUGCUAGAAAAGAAACUACAACAGUCGAAGAUACAGCCUAGAGACAUAGCGAUUACAUCUAGCAGUUAUGGAUUAAAAUACUUAUCUCGACAUAAUCACAUUAAUUGAUAAUAGUGCAAUGCAUAAAUAAAAUUGGCACUAGGUCCUGAUUAGUUUGGUAUUUGAUUAAUCGUCAUUACACUACACACUUAAAUUAAUAUACACAAUUCUAGGUGAAAUGAAAGGGUUGUCGCGCGGCAAAGCGCGCGACACAACACACUAUUCGAAUGAAAUUAAAAAGGAUUGUUGCGCGGCGAAGCGCGUGACACAACGCGUGAUUUAAACGAAAUUGAAAAGGAUUGUCGUGCGGCAAAGCGCACGACACCACACGCUACUCGAACGGAAUUAAAAAGAAUUAUCGUGCGGCGAAGUGUGCAACACAACAUGUGACUCCAACGGGGUUUAAAACGUUACGACGCGUGCUGGGCUGCGCGCACGGGGCCAGACCGUGCUGAGGUGGGGGUGGGGGCUGUGCAGGGGACUGGGAGCUGCACCGGGGCUGGGGGAAGCCGCGCCAUGCCCGGGGCCUAGGGCCGCGCUAGGGGCAAGCCGUCGCGUUGGGGGCCACGCCGGGGGCGCUUCGCGCCUGGGGCGAGCCGCGCCGGGGGGUGCCACGCCAGGGGCAGGAGAGGGCGCCAGGGAGGGCAGCCUCGGCAGGGCCGCGCGUGCUAGGGAAGGGACUCGGCCAGGGGGCGCCGUGCAGGGGGAGGGAGGAGAGAGAGGGGAGGGGAACUCACCACGGUCUCGAUGGACGGCAGC